CACUAUCCCAUCCCGUUAUCCCAUCCCAUGGAUCCCAUCCCAUUAUCCCAUCCCAUUAUCCCAUCCCAUGGAUCCCGUCCCGUUAUCCUAUCCCACUAUCCCAUCCUGUUAUCCCGUCCCGUUAUCCCAUCCCGUUAUCCCAUCCCGUUAUCCCAUCCCGUUAUCCCGUCCCGUUAUCCCAUCCCGUUAUCCCAUCCCAUGGAUCCCAUCCCAUUAUCCCAUCCCAUUAUCCCAUCCCAUUACCCCAUCCCAUGGAUCCCGUCCCGUUAUCCUAUCCCACUAUCCCAUCCUGUUAUCCCAUCCCGUUAUCCCAUCCCAUGGAUCCCAUCCCAUUAUCCCAUCCCAUUAUCCCAUCCUGUUAUCCCGUCCCGCUCUCCCGGCCGUGCCGGGUCCCUGCUCACCGCCCGUGGCGAUGGUGACCUGCCGCAGGAGGUGGCCGUAGAACGGGAAAUCGAAGGACAGGACGAUCCUCUGGGAGAGAGGGGAGGUGAGAACCGAGCCCGGCCCUCAGGAAAACAGCGCUGGGAAUGUGGGGAGGGCUGGGAGAGGGGUGGGAGAGGGGAUGGGAAAAGGGGAUGGAAAGGGGAUGGGAAAAGGAUGGCAGAGGAAUCCUACAUCUUCUUUCCUCCCCAGAAUGCCUGGUGGGCACACAGACACUUCCCAAACCCCGACACUCCCCGAGCACGUGGUCAGCGCCCCGAGGCUCCCCAAGGCUCCCUGAGGCUCCCCAAGGCUCCCCAGGGCUCCCCAAGGCUCCCCAAGGCUCCCCAAGGCUCCCAGGGCUCCCCAAGGCUCCCUGAAGCUCCCCAAGACUCCCCAAGGCUCCCCAAGGCUCCCAGGGCUCCCCAAGUCUCACCGAGGCCUGCCGGUGCGUGUUGGAGAGGAUCCCGUGGAUCCGAGCUCGGCUCCCGUUGGCCGCUGCCAUGUCCACCCAGAGCCGCCCGCGCCGCGCGUCCCCGGGGCCGUAGAUCCGCGACACGUAAUAGCUGUGGUUGUCCUCCUGCAGCCACGGGGACACGGGACAUGGGGAUGGGACAUGGGAAUGGGACAUGGGGAUGGGACAUGGGACAUGGGGAUGGGACACGGGACAUGGGGAUGGGACAUGGGACAUGGGACAUGGGGAUGGGACACGGGACAUGGGGAUGGGACAUGGGACAUGGGACAUGGGACAUGGGGAUGGGACACAGGGAUGGGACACAGGGAUGGGACACAGGGAUGGGACAAGGGACAUGGGACAUGGGGAUGGGACAUGGGGAUGGGACACAGGGAUGUGACAAGGGACACAGGACAUGGGAAUGGGACAUGGGACACAGAGAUGGGACACAGGACACGGGACACGGGGAUAGGACACAGGGAUGGGAUAUGGGACAUGGGACACAAGACAUGGGACACAGGGCACAGGGAUGGGACACAGGACAUGGGACACGGGACACAGGACAUGGGGAUGGGACACAGGACAUGGGACAGAGGGAUGGGACACAGGGAUGGGACAUGGGACACAGGGAUGGGAUAAGGGACAUGGGACACAGGACACAGGGAUGGGACACAGGACAUGGGACACGGGACACAGAACAUGGGGAUGGGACACAGGACAUGGGACACGGGACACAGGACACGGGGACGGGACACAGGACACGGGGAUGGGACACAGGACAUGGGACACAGGACAAGGGACACGGGACAGGGGGAUGGGAUUCCCUGAGCCUCAGAGAGCUCCAGGCUCCCAGGGGAUGCUCAGAUUCCCCAGGGAACCUUUGCUCUCCCGAGGGUUGGUGUGAAAAUAAGAUUUUAAUUCUCAAAACAGCGACAAGGAUGUUCUGAGAGCGGUUUUUCUCUUGUCCCACACUAAUACUAAUACUAAUACUAAUACUAAUACUAAUACUAAUACUAAUACUAUUAUAUAUAAUUAUAAUUUAAAAUAUAAAAUUUAAAAUAAAAUAAUUAAUAUAAUAUAUAAUUAUAUAUAU
Molecule: long non-coding RNA, 1967 nt
Filed under: Cyanistes caeruleus (blue tit)
Lineage: Eukaryota; Metazoa; Chordata; Aves; Passeriformes; Paridae
Description: lncRNA (ENSCCEG00000005760.1)
Source: RNAcentral